This 375-nucleotide ribosomal RNA is filed under the name uncultured bacterium. Its description in RNAcentral is "bacterial SSU rRNA". It matches the Rfam family "Bacterial small subunit ribosomal RNA", at positions 28 to 403 of the family's 1533-position model. The record is from RNAcentral.
GACGAACGCUGGCGGCGUGCUUAACACAUGCAAGUCGAGCGGUAAGGCCCUUUCGGGGGUACGACGAGCGGCGAACGGGUGAGUAACACGUGGGUGACCUGCCCUCAGCUCUGGGAUAAGCCUGGGAAACUGGGUCUAAUACUGGAUAUGACUCCACGGUGCAUGUCGUGGGGUGGAAAGCCUUGUGCGGCUGAGGAUGGGCCCGCGGCCUAUCAGCUUGUUGGUGGGGGAUGGCCUACCAAGGCGACGACGGGUAGCCGGCCUGAGAGGGCGACCGGCCACACUGGGACUGAGACACGGCCCAGACUCCUACGGGAGGGCAGCAGUGGGGAAUCUUGCGCAAUGGGCGAAAGCCUGACGCAGCGACGCCGCGUG